CGAAAAUUCUCAUAGAUGUUGGUAGCGAGGGGCAAGAUGUUGCAAAUUAUAAAUACUAUCACGACGCAGAGCAACAUGACCGCCAAGCCAAUUUCACGUCGCUGAUGUCGCGACAGAUGCUGUAGAUCCCGAUUGGCUUUUCUGACCUGAUCGCUACUGAAUUCUUCGUUCUCUAAGGAUGAUCGGUAACCUCACACAGCCUCGAAUGGGACUCUUGAACAGACUUGGAAUCUGGUGUUGGGAACACGUGUUGAAAUGAAAAUGUACACACUGCAUUCGGCAACAAGAUGUACGUUCUGGUACAACGAGACAACGCGGGAAAUUGAAUGGCUUCCUUGAUCUGUUGGCUGCGUAAAAAAUAGCGAUUGCUCUCCUGUGAAUUGGUCGACGUGGUUCUCCUGUCGGAGCUCGGUAUUAUUUUAGUGCGUUGGGACGCCUUCGCGGCAGAUGAGUGGAAAUAGGUUUGUGCGAGAGGUGAAAAAGAAAAAGAGAAGAAAAAUGCGCGAGAGAGAGAGAGAGAGAGAGAGAGAGAGGAGAACAGACGACACACUGAGAACAAGAGAACUGAAUGAGUAAGCAACGUGAAGAGAAGAAAGCAAAAGAGCAAAGAGUAAUAUUAUACAUAUAUAUAACCGUUACUCCCACACGGGGUGUAAUGCGUAUAUGGUAGAUGUCAUUUUCUCCUUUCUUCUUUUCUUUUUUCUCUUUUUCUCAAUCCACGACUUCACCGUUUUACGAGGCAAUGAAAGCACGUUCCCUUGUGCGAUUAGCAUUGGGCUUUUUCUCGUACUUAAAAUUUUAUGGACGCCCACCGACGCCCGGCGUCGGCAUUAAUUUACCGUCCGUAUACCACUUUUCUACUACGUACUCACCGAUUUCUACUUUUUACAUACUUCGAAUCUUUUUACAUGCUCUCUCUCUCUCUCUCUCUCUCUCUCUCUCUCUCUCUCUCUAUCUAUCUCUCUUACUUUUCUAACCUCUUUCCGCUUUGCUUACUUUUCCAUUGCGUCUCUUAUCACCGAGAUUUACCGCGUUGCCAAAUGUCCACUUUGAGAAACUGAAAUUGCAAUCGAGCACGUGCAAUUUAUCAGAUGUAAAUGGCAGAAGGGAAACUGGUCUGCUUGGAUAAACGAAAAGAAAUUGUACGUCCCAGCUGCUACACUCUUUCUGUUACUGUGCUUUAUGUGGAUAUCUAUAUUACUUUAUAUAUACUGUGAAUACAUAUGCGAAAUAUUAUACGUACGAAUUAAGUAGAUACUAUAUGUACACUCUUGUAUUUUUAUAUUGUUUUUGUGUAGAUAUAUGUGUAUAUGUAUUCAUUGUGGGUAUAAACAAGUGACGCAUAUUUAAGUCAUUAUUCUUUUGAAAAAGCAAUAGAUAGGAACGCCGUAAGAUAGUGAAGGGUGAAAUUUCUGUCUGACGAAAGGGUUCACGAUAAAGAUAAGAUAUUGGUAAAGGGAGACGCAGUUAUAUUGAACAGUUAUCGGAUAUAAGUGUUUUCCAUCUUCUGAUAUGUGGUGCCGGUGUAGAUAGAAAUGGCAGGAGAAAGUGUAGGAAUAAAAAUGCAUAUUAAUUUUGGGGAGAAAGUUCGUUUUUAAUAUGCAGUUUUUUGUACCUGGUAUGAAAAUUCUUGUUUAGUAUUUCGAUAAACAUUUAUGCUACUCUGUAAAAAUAACAAGUCUAUUGUAAGCUGAGGUUAGGUUAGCUACUUGGACCAUAAUGCUCGCAUCGAGACUGUCUGAGCAAAGUAUUCCAUUUGCCUUUUUCACUUUCGUAUGUGGGUCAUACGCUGGGUUUGAGACGAGGAGGCAGAAGAGAUUUCCUUAUUUAUUUUUCAUAGAAUAAACCAAGCGUUACUUGACUUGAUAAUUGAGGCCAGAGGGGUGAAGGGAGAGGAAGAGGAGAAAAAUAUGAAGAAAAAAAAGUAAUUGAGUGCAUGCAUUGUUACUGUGACGUAACGUGACCUCGGGAUGUUUUAUCAGGGGCCACAAACUUAUGGGAAUCAAUGUAAAUGAGUCACCUGAUAUGGGGAGGAUGGAAAAAGAAAACUAAUCAAAGUUACAAAAAGAAAAUGAAAAUUGUAUUACAAGUGGUUUUUCUUUUUGGAUUUAAAAAAAUUGUAUUUAUCAACUGUAAUUAUAGGAA
Cephus cinctus (wheat stem sawfly) is the source of this 2145-nucleotide long non-coding RNA. RefSeq lists it as uncharacterized. The transcript is spliced from 3 exons. Lineage: Eukaryota; Metazoa; Arthropoda; Insecta; Hymenoptera; Cephidae. The record is from RefSeq and is a predicted model, not a curated record.